UACAGAGGGGGCAAGCGUUGUUCGGAAUUACUGGGCGUAAAGGGCGCGUAGGCGGCCUGUUAAGUCGAACGUGAAAUCCCCGGGCUCAACCCGGGAACUGCGUCCGAUACUGGCAGGCUUGAAUCCGGGAGAGGGAUGUGGAAUUCCAGGUGUAGCGGUGAAAUGCGUAGAGAUCGGCAGGAACACCCAGGGGGAAACCAGCCGCCUGGGCAAGCGCUGACGCUGAGGUGCGAGAGCGUGGGGAGCGAACCGG
Molecule: ribosomal RNA, 253 nt
Filed under: uncultured bacterium
Lineage: Bacteria
Description: partial 16S ribosomal RNA
Rfam family: Bacterial small subunit ribosomal RNA
Source: RNAcentral